Xiphophorus couchianus (Monterrey platyfish) is the source of this 5691-nucleotide RNA transcript. RefSeq lists it as uncharacterized. The transcript is spliced from 11 exons. The record is from RefSeq and is a predicted model, not a curated record. NCBI's taxonomy places the organism in Eukaryota, Metazoa, Chordata, Actinopteri, Cyprinodontiformes, Poeciliidae.
CACAAGCAAAAUGACUUCACUCCACUUCGCAAUAUUCUGUGUUUUCUUCGGACCCAGCAGCUGUCAAAUUAAUUGCAUCCCAGAAACGGUUGAUGAGACAAAGUUUUCAGUCAACGUAACGGAGCACAUUAGUGUGGAGUCUAUCGACUGCAUCGUAAUCCCACACAAGGUGACAUUUCCACGAGACAAAGUGGUAACCCUGUACAAAAAGAUGUUAUUUCAGGGCGAUCCAUCAAAUGUCGUUGAUAAAAAAAGUUGUCUACGAUUCUGACAAAGAAGAUUCAUUCAGGAUAAAAAAUCUUCCAUGUGGAGAAUAUGAUUAUGGCUUUAAACUGGAAUGGGGGUGUAAUCAAACUUACACUUUCCCAAAGAGAGUCCACGUCUCUGUUUUACCAUUAGCAACUAAGCCGACUGUCUUGGUUCCUCUUUUGACGGAGGAACGCUCUGAGCUGAUCUGCAGCGUUCCCCAGCCGUGCUCACAAGGACUCCGAGUUUACUGGAAAUGGACGAAGGCCGACGGACAAUCUGCGGUACUCAGCGACUAUCGCUACGGGAAACUUGAUCAGUGGUUCUUUGGAUACAAAGACACUUUGCGCAUUAAUCCCACAGCACAUCAUCACAACACCAACAUCACAUGUGUGGCCGAGUAUGACAACGACCUCACGGAAGCAACGGUCACUUUGAACGUGAAAUUUAAACCUAAGAUCUCGAAUGACUCCCACUGCUUGGUUAAAGGCGAGCUGCUGGUCUGCGUGUGCAUCAGUUGGGGCAAUCCUCUGCCGCCGAUCUCUUGGCCUUUGGAAAACCUCACGGCUUUCUCGGUGACUAGCUUGAGGAUUGCUCAGACAGUACGAAGCACUUUCACAGUGCCUGCGUCGGAAUACCAUAACGCCACUGUAAAAUGCACCAGCAGCAAUGAACGCGGUCUGGCUGAAACCUUAAUUGUAAUUCAUAACUCUGAAGAGAGAGCGGAGCCAAACAGCCAAACUGAUUCCUCCAGCUGUUCCAGGCAGAAGGAAGGGGAUGGAUUUAGCUCUUCCCUGGAUAGCUGGGCUGUGUUUCUCUCUCAACCUGGCCUUCAUUACCGCCUUGAUUAUCCACAUUUGUCAAAGAAGGAUUAAUAAGCAGAAGGAACAGAGCAAAGAGAGCAACACUUACAUGUCUCUGAAAAAGGCAGACGUUGAGGAAGAAUACAGCAUCAUUUCCGCAAAACCCAAACGAAACCCGCAAGUGUGAAGCGCUGCCCUGUUUGCUACCGAGAUAAGAAAAUGCAAAACAAAAAUGUACAGCAGAUAAAUAUUCUAUGAAUAGUUACAGAGCCUUUCAGUAAUAGUCACAUUUAUGCAAUUUACAUGUUACAACCAGGCUUCUGCGUGUUCUACGAGGAUUGUAUGUGAUAGACCACAAAAAAUUAAAUAAAAAGGAAGUGACACAUGUGUAAUAAAUUCAAAUCUACAAAGUGUGAUGCGCAUUUUUAUUCAGUUCCUUUUACUCUGAUGCUCCUAAAUGAAAUCCUGUCAAACAAACAGUCUUCAAGAGAUCAAGAGAUGUUUCAAGUCAGACUUUUUGUAAUUUCUUUGGAGCACCAGGCCUGACUCCAUGGCAGCAGCACAGGUUUGUUGGAGAGCAUUAGGGAACAAACCAAGGAACACAGCAGAUGGGUCAGAGAAAAAGUUGCGUAGAAGUUUAAAGCAGGGUUGGGUUACCAGGAUCAGAAUUUAUUGGUUAAAUAUUGUGUGUACAAAUUUGACUUCUGUUACAAGAGCAGACAGCUUACAAAGUAUAAAUAUAUAAACUCCACAGAAAAUAAAGAAUAAAAACAAUGCAUAUUAUCACCUUAAUAGAAAGAUGUUCAAUACAUCGUCUAAUCUUACUAAACAGCUGCAAACAUAUCAAGACAUGCAACUGGAAAGCUGUUGUUGGAAUAUUAACUGAAUAUUAAUAUUCCUUUUUGCACUCUGCCACAUCGAGUGGAAGAGCAAAACUUCACAGAACAGCGCACUUACAAAUCAGAGCCACUUUCAGUCUGUCAAAGUUGCAUUUAUGAGUUUGCGGAGCAGUUAAAUAAAUCAAAAGCUAUACAUUUGUGCUGGCAGAUAAGCUGGUAGCUUGCCUCUCAAAAACCAUGAAAACUGUGAGCGAGUGGAAAGGACGGCGCAGCGCCCUGAACACACCACAAUCUACCUGCCCUCCACUCUCCACCUGCAGGUGUCUUGUUGCCGUUUUGGCUCUCAACAGUCUCCAUACAUUAGGAGUGCUUUUGCAAGGCAAUGUAAAUGAGUUUCUUCUAAAUAAUAUUAGCACCCAUUUUUGCGUGCACCUCUAGUUUUGGCAGAUUUAGUCAAGUCAGAAAAUGGUUAAGAAAAGCGCCCAAACUUAAUUCAAAUGUCAAAAUAUAACAAUCUCCAUUUAGAAAAAUGUCAACUUUUAAACUGGAAGGAAACACUCAGUGGACACUGAUUGGUAUUAAACUCGUUCGCACCCAUUGAGCUCGCUGCUGCUGUACAUUCACAUAAAUACUGACUCAGCUUAUUGGUUUAGUUGAGUAAUUUACUAAUGAAUUUUGCAUAAAAUAUAUCAUGUGCGGACAUUUUCUCUCUCAACUGUGAAAAGAAAUAUGCUUGAGAAUAAGAUACUGUGUCCUUACAAUGAAUUUAAUGCAACAGGUCAAUUGAUAGAGUGAAUUAUGGGUAAAAAUAACAGUAUGAUGGCUACUUCACAUGUUUUACGCAAAAGUGAAUAAAUAUUGAGACCUUAAUUAUAAUGAAUAGUAUUAUAAGUGAGGAACUGUUGAGCUGCUGUAAGAGUUCACAUCUUUUUUUUCUCAGAUCGGAUUUUCUUAUUUCCCUCUCAGUGCCUCAUGUCAUACUUUUAUUUCACAUUGCCAUUGUGUAACAUAACCAUGGUGUAAUAUUCAUUCUGUAAUCUGUAGUUAAUUUUACUGGUGUAAACUACUGUGAAUAAAGUCUAUGUCUGCACAUUUCUUUAAGUUUUCUCAUCCAUGAUGCUGUCAGGCUAUUUACACCACUUUAAACAUGCAACCACAAACCUCAAUGAAUUUCAUUUGAGGGUUUAUGUGAUAAAUGAACACAAAGUAUAAGAAAAACGACUCACAGCCUUUACUGUUUUUACAUGGAAAGAUCUGAAAAGUGUGGCAUGCAUUUAUUGGAACUUGCAAUUGUAAGUCUUUGUUUAUGUCUUUGCUUACGUUGCCUUUUUUGCUGAUUGAUUUUUUUUAUUUCUUCAUUCCUCUUUGGACAAACAGCUCAAGCCGAGCCGAAUCGAGAGGAGAUAACUGCAAACCAAAACAUUUAAGUCUUUCCCCAGGCUCAAAGUUAGAUUUAGGUCUGAACUUUGACUGGACCGAUAAAGCAAAACGGUCCAGUUUUAAAGCAUGUCAUGAACUCUCUUUGAUCAAAUCUAUUUUAUUGUAGCUCUUACAUGUUUGGAGAUAUUGUCCUGCUUUCGCAAGUAUUUUUUAGAUAAAAAAGGAACUGAAACCUUUCAGUGACUUAUAUAGAACAUGCCUUUUUCUUCUCGAGAGAAAGACCUCCCCCUCUUUCAUAAAUACAGGCAGUCCAGGAUUUGGCAGCUUGUUGCUCUAUUAGUUCUCUUCCUAGUAAUACGGCUUCAGAAGACAAAACAAAAUUCCUUAAGAGAUGAUUAAGAUCAUUGCGGUGCAUUAGAUCCACAUGCUGCAUGUCUACAUUUUAAACUGGAAUUACUUUUUGGAGAAUUAAUUUGACUUUUUUUUACUACUUUCCAAUAGUUUUACCAAGACAGGAAAAUGGCUUUGACCUUUUUUGUAAUUUUCUGGAUUCUUCUACGAAGCACCAGCUGCCAGUUUCAGUGUGUCCCCGAAACUCUUGAUGACUUGGAUUUUUACAUUAAUGUAACAGAGCACAUUACAGUGAGGUCCACCAACUGUAUUCAGAUCCCACAUGAAGUGACUUUUCCACGAGACAAAGUGACAGUCCCGUACAAGAAGAUGUUGUUUAAAGGAGAUCCUUCAAAUGUUGUUGAUACAAAAGUUGUCGAUAACGUGAAUGAUGACGCAAAGAAUACUUUCUCAAUAAUUACGCUUCCACCUGGAGAACACAAGUACGGCGUCAAACUUGAAUGGGGAUGCAAUCAGACGUAUGUUUUCCCUAAAAGGAUUCACAUUUCCGCGUUAACAACUAACGCUGGCUUCUUUGAUGGAGGAAAGACAGCAGACGCGACUGACCUGCGUGGCUCCUACGCCAUGCACUGGUGAAGUGUUUUUCUUAUGGAAAUGGACAAAUGCUGAUGGACAAUCUAGAAUGAUGGGCAGUGACCUCGACGAUUACGAUUACAUACGGUGGCAUGUAAGAUUUGGAUCUAGACGUAGAGACAGAUAUGGUAUGAAAUACAGAGGUAAAAAUUAUUUACCUUUUUUUCCAACGGCGGAUCAUCACAACACCAACAUCACAUGCAUAGCAACAUACGAUCACAAUGAUGCUGAGACAACUGUCACCUUGACUGUGAAAUUCUCACCCAGAAUCCUGAACAGCUCUCAUUGCACAGUUAAAGGGGAGCUGCUGCUCUGUGUGUGCAUCAGCUGGGGCAAUCCUCUGCCACCGAUCUUGUGGCCUUCGGAAACCCUCACAGAUUACUCGGUGACCAGUUUUAGCAAUGCUCAGAGAGUAAGCAGCACCCUCACCAUGCCUGCAGCUAAAUAUCACAAUGCCACCGUUAAUUGCAUGAGCAGAAAUGAACUCGGUCAGGCAGAAAGUGCGAUCCUGAUUCAAAACUCCACAGAGCACGACGGGGUGAACUCUCUUCCAGAAUCAAGCGAAGGGUUUUGCUCAGCUCUUCCCUGGCUAACAGGACUGUGUUUCACUCUGAACCUUGUUUUUGUGGCUGUCUUCAUCUGUAUUUACCUACGGAGCAGAAAACAGCAGAAGGAAUCGCGUGAAGAAGCAGACACCUACGUGACUUUGAGAAAAGCAGAUAUGGAUGAAGCGUACAGCACUAUUUCCCCACAAAGGAAAUAGAUGAAGUAUGCAAGUCACAAUUUUAGCCCUGUGAAUAGCAGGAAGUAACGUGUCAUGUUUUGUUUUUAAAGUACAUACCAUGUAUUUAAAAAAUGCUGUUUAAAUUAUGCGUUUUAGUGACCUACCGCCCAAUAUGCCUCAUUUUGCCAAAUAUGUUUAUGAUAGCCUUAAAUAUGAGGUGAGAAGCUCUUUAUGGGAACCCCGAAAAGAGCUGCUACUAAUUCAUGUAAAAAGGAGGAAGAGGAACUUUGUCAGGCAUCUGAUAAGGAUGUUUGAAUCACACUGAGCGUUUACUGAUUGGUUGUUUCUAGUUAGCCCUGGGAGCAACGGGAGAAGUCAGAAGAGCUCAACUUUUUUUCACAGUCUGUCUCAUACUAUACUGUCACGACAUAGUGAUAGUUUCAAGAAAUAUAGAGAAACAUGUUUUUUUAAAAGUCACAUAUCUGAACCUUUAACGCUUGGCCAUCUUGCUUCAUUGCUUUCUGUAAUACUCUGUGAUUACCAAAUUUAAAUGUCAAGAUGAAACACAACUUUGGGACUUAAGAUGAUAAAAUUAAUCAGAUAUUCAUGACAACGCACCCUAAUUUGGUUAAAGACUCUUUUCUUUGGUCAGGACUUCCCAUAAUCUGCACUGUACUCCAUGUGAAUCUGGUGUGAAUAAAGUUGUGUCAGCACA